This 218-nucleotide ribosomal RNA is filed under the name uncultured Acinetobacter sp. RNAcentral describes it as "partial 16S ribosomal RNA". It matches the Rfam family "Bacterial small subunit ribosomal RNA", at positions 325 to 532 of the family's 1533-position model. Lineage: Bacteria; Pseudomonadati; Pseudomonadota; Gammaproteobacteria; Moraxellales; Moraxellaceae. The record is from RNAcentral.
UCUAGAGAUUACUCCUACGGGAGGCAGCAGUGGGGAAUAUUGGACAAUGGGCGCAAGCCUGAUCCAGCCAUGCCGCGUGUGUGAAGAAGGCCUUUUGGUUGUAAAGCACUUUAAGCGAGGAGGAGGCUACUUGGAUUAAUACUCUAGGAUAGUGGACGUUACUCGCAGAAUAAGCACCGGCUAACUCUGUGCCAGCAGCCGCGGUAAUAAUCGUCGAC